UACGUAGGUCCCGAGCGUUGUUCGGAUUUAUUGGGCGUAAAGCGAGCGCAGGUGGUUUAUUAAGUCUGGUGUAAAAGGCAGUGGCUCAACCAUUGUAUGCAUUGGAAACUGGUAGACUUGAGUGCAGGAGAGGAGAGUGAAUUCCAUGUGUAGCGGUGAAAUGCGUAGAUAUAUGGAGGAACACCGGUGGCGAAAGCGGCUCUCUGGCCUGUAACUGACACUGAGGCUCGAAAGCGUGGGGAGCAAACAGG
Molecule: ribosomal RNA, 251 nt
Filed under: uncultured bacterium
Lineage: Bacteria
Description: partial 16S ribosomal RNA
Rfam family: Bacterial small subunit ribosomal RNA
Source: RNAcentral